UAUUAUGGUUGUAGAGUUGUAGGUGGUAGUACAUAUGAAAAAAAAUAAACAGAGGAAAGGAUAAAGAGACGUGAGAGAAACAGAGCCCCCGAUCCUCUCAUCUCUCCCAAAUCGCCGCCAUCCACGGCCUAAUCUACCUCCUCCAAACCACCUCGCGGCCGGCCCUGCCCCUGCCCUCCUCCCACCUCGCAACCCUGGUGGCUGCCGGAUUCGCCGCAUCCCCGACCCACCCAUGCCUACCACGUCCCGUCUCUCUCUCACCACGUGGCUCCUCCCUGCGCCACCUGCGGCGGCUGAUUCAGGCGACGUCCGUUGAAUCCUGCCACCGCGAAGCACAAUUGAAGGUCCCCUCGCACCGCACCGCCCUCCCAUCUGGCUAGAUCAAGUGGUCACAGCCACCAAAGCCCACCCUCGACCCUUCCCCCAUGGCUAGGGUUUCAGGCGUCGGCUCGGGAGUCUGUGUCCAUGUCGUCCUCCUUUCGUCCGGUGUGCAGGGAGGAACAACCAGCGGACGGACUUGCUGCUGCUCGGGACAAGAAGCCAUGGAGCUUCUUCCUCCUCCUCUGGCAUCAGGUGAGUUGGUCCACUCCUCCUUUGUGCUCUGGUUUGUGGCACAUCAGGAACCAUUGCUAUGAAUAGCAAAGAGUACUUCACUUGUACAGGUUCAUGUUUACGUGGUAGAUUAAUUAAUGAGGCUUCAGUAUAAAAUGGAACAUCCUACAAUUAUUAUUAUAGAAUCAAUAUUCUGAACAUUAGUUUCUAAACAGCAUGUGUAUCGUUCCUCUGCAGUUUCAUGAUUUUGAUUUCAGAGCUGCCACUUACAGAAAACAUAAUAAGGUAAUUAAGCCACAUUCCAAAAUAUACUAGUUGUGUAAAUCCUGAGUAAUGGUGUGUGUGUGGUUCUGAAGCAGUCCUUAAUUUUGUUCUGAAAUUGGCGUUUUCCACCCUUUCAUGUUCUGAACAAUAAAGAUUCACCCACAAGGCUUUUUGAAUUAUGUUAGUUGUAUGUCUUAAGCAAAUUGUACAGACUCCAAUUAAAGAAGUGUUGUGAUUAGUCAUGGUCAGUGCAUAUAUAUACUGUGUUGUCUGAAAUGUCUGUAGCUUCAGAGGAACUGUAAGCAUGUCUCUCCAUCGUUUGUUAGCAUUUUCAUAUUUAGGUCCUUCUGGCUGUCUAUAUAUACUGUAUAAGUAGUGAUUUUGUCCGGACUAAUUUAUUUUUACCCAAACAUGAAUUGCCAUGUUAACUAGCAUGAUGUGUUGAAUAACUUAAUUGGCCCCUUGACCACAACUGGUGUCUAACUAAUAUUUAAAUUAAGUUUACGAGCACAAACUGGAACACUAUUUCUACUCUAUUAUACUUUACUCAUGCUUGGACCAAGAUCUCAUGAGGAAUCGGGAGAAGGGACACCAAAAAUUGGUGCAGGUUCAUGUUGCUCCAACAGAUUUUGCACUGCAUGCCGUAAAAAAAUAUGUAUCUUUAUCCCAUUGGAUAUGUUCAACAUUGAAAGCAAUCAGAGAAAAUGUUAAUACUUAUGCAACGAUUUCUGCCAUACACUAAGACGCCCAUAAUAGGCUCAUGUAGUUUAAGUCUGUACCUGAACCACUCAAAGAAAUGAUAACAAAACUAAUACUAAUAGGUCAAUGAUCACCUUGAGAUAAUUUAUGAAUGUAUUUCCAUCUACUAUGUAUGCUAAUAAUUUGUUAUGUAUAACAAAGAUUGCAUGGAAUUGAACUGUUGGUGACGGUGAGGUCGUCUUACUGGAAGUGACGGUCAGGUUGUCUAACUGGAAGUGAAACUGUUGGUGCUGUUCUGCAUUCUGAUAAUGUUGGUUGGCAGGGUGAGGGAUCAGAAGAUGGAUGGCGGGGGCGUUUGAGUUGUAUUGGCAGGGCCCUCAUGUAGACGCUGGACGAGAUGGCGCUUAGCCCCGAGCUCGCUGUCAGUCUCCAAGUACAGUUCGACGAGGUCUGUUGAUUAUUUUUCAUCUUGGUCUUCUUGUUUCUUUCAGUCCAUGAGCGCUGGACCACUAGCUCAAGAGCAAGGCCUUCUUCAAGGUACCAAACAGGUUGCCACCUCUCUUUCUUGUGCCACAUAUUCAUCACUACACUGUACAUAUUCCAAGGGAACAAUGAUGAAAUAACGUGAUGUUGUUACAUGUUGGUGUAACUGUACUGAUGCAGAUCAGCUACAGAUCUUUCAUAUCUUCUGUUGGAUGCCAUGAUGACUUCUGUGCUUAAUUAUGAAGUUAUGGAUGUAUUUCCAUCUACUAUGUAUAACAUAAAUUGCAUGGCCUUCAACCUUUAUUCAAUCAAAAGAUAUAUGGAUGAUUCUAUGGUUUGUGGCAAGUAUACUGCAAUGAUGAUGAUGAUGUUCCCGUUGAUGAUGAUGAUGAUGUUCCCGUUGAUGAUGAUGAUGAUGAUGGAUGCCUUCAGUUUUAGUUUGUAGUGAUGUUGUUCCUGUUGUAUGAUGUUCUUCGGUUAAGUUUUAGUUAAUUCUAGUUGAUGGAUUAUUGUCGGUUUAAGUUUCACUCUCAAGAAAAUAUUUAGAUUAUGGAUCACAUUGGGAUGAUGUUCCUCCUAUAAUAUCCACUAUUGUAAUCCAACAGUUUUAUUCAAUAUAUGAUCUCUUCCUCUUGUGAGUAUAUUC
Molecule: long non-coding RNA, 2644 nt
Organism: Triticum aestivum (bread wheat)
Lineage: Eukaryota; Viridiplantae; Streptophyta; Magnoliopsida; Poales; Poaceae
Exons: 4
Source: RefSeq, a predicted model, not a curated record